GAUGAAGAACGCAGCGAAAUGCGAUAAGUAAUGUGAAUUGCAGAAUUCAGUGAAUCAUCGAAUCUUUGAACGCACAUUGCGCCCGCCAGUAUUCUGGCGAGCAUGCCUGUUCGAGCGUCGUUUCAACCAUCAAGCCCCAGGCUUGUGUUGGAGCCCUGCGGCUGCCGCAGCCUCCCAAAACCAGUGGCGGGCUCGCUAUCACACCGAGUGCAGUAGUUUACUCUUCGCUCAGGGCGUGUGGCGGGUGCUAGCCGUGAAACCCCCAACUUCUCAAGGUUGACCUCGGAUCAGGUAGGAAUACCCGCUGAACUUAAGCAUAUCAAUAAGCGGAGGA
This 334-nucleotide unclassified non-coding RNA is filed under the name soil metagenome. RNAcentral describes it as "partial contains 5.8S ribosomal RNA, internal transcribed spacer 2, and large subunit ribosomal RNA". The stretch from base 1 to 120 matches the Rfam family "5.8S ribosomal RNA", at positions 35 to 154 of the family's 154-position model. The record is from RNAcentral.